This is an RNA transcript of Amborella trichopoda, 1603 nucleotides long. It is a transcript of the gene named upstream activation factor subunit UAF30, with no coding region annotated. Lineage: Eukaryota; Viridiplantae; Streptophyta; Magnoliopsida; Amborellales; Amborellaceae. The record is from RefSeq and is a predicted model, not a curated record.
AUCUCUCUCUAAAAUAUCAUUCUCUCUCUAAAAUCUCUCUCUCUCUCUCAUAUUUAUCCCUUUAUUGUUCGCGCAGGCAAACAAAUUCAACUUCAUCCCUUUCCCCGCCUUCCAUGUUAGAGAGCGUGCGUAUACCCUUAAAUGAGAGAGAGAUAGAGCAGGGUAGAGAGAGAAGGGGAAGAGAGCUAGAGAGAGAGAGGCCUAGAGAGAGAAAGAGAUGCCACUUUUAGGCCAUUGUUGGAUGAACUGCACCUUUGAGUGAAUAAUCCAUUGGAGAUUUUUAGAGAGAGAAAAUGGUUUCAGACUCAGAGUUGGUCGAGAGGCUCAAAGAAUUCUUGAGCACAGCUGACCUCAACACCACAACCAACUCCACUGUUCGCAAACAUCUCGAGAAUGAGUUUGGAGUUGAUCUUUCUGAGAAAAAAGCAUUUAUCAGAGACCAAAUAAACCUAUAUUUUGACAGUUUAGAGGGCAAUGAGGAGACCAAAGAGGAAGGAAGAGAUCCCUCUGAAUCAGAAGGUGAAGAGGAUAGAGCGGUGGAAGAAGAGGAGGAGAAAGGAAAGGGCAGUAAAAGACGAAUGAGCAAAGAUAAGAAGAGAACUGGCGGAGGUGGAUUUUCAAAACCAUGUGGUCUUUCUCCAGAGCUUCAAGCAUUCAUGGGUGUCUCUGUGUUACCCCGAACUGAGGUUGUCAAGAGAAUUUGGGCACAUAUUCGUGAACACAAUUUGCAAGACCCGGCAAACAAGCGGAAUAUUAUUUGUGAUGAACAAUUACGUUCUCUAUUUGAUGUUGAUUCUAUUGGCAUGUUUCAAAUGAACAAGGUUCUAUCAAAACAUAUACUCCCGUUAGCUACAGAAAAUGGUCCAGAUGUGUCAGUACCAAAGGUAAAACCAGAUGUGUCAGUACCAAAGGUGAAACGACAAAAACAAGAGAAAGGUCAAGGGGGAAAAGGUUCAGCUUUACUUGCACCUCUUCCGCUUUCAGAUGCCCUCAUAAAGUUUAUUGGUACUGGUGAAAAUGCACUACCACGUAGUGAAGUUAUUAAAAGAAUAUGGAACCACAUAAAACAGAAUGAACUUCAGGACCCUUCCGACAAGAGGAGAAUCAUCUGUGACAAGAAGCUGAAGGAAUUGUUAGAAGUUGACACGUUCAAUGGCUUUAGCGUAGCAAAGCUGUUGGCCCCGCAUUUCAUUAAAACCGAAUAGUGAUCAGCCCCUUGCAGUGCUGCUUGCACAAAAAGAGCAAGCACAUGCGAGUUUUGUUAGUAUGAGAGAUUAAGUUGAAAGGAAAUUCAGGGAAUCUGGAAAUUGUUGCCUAUAUCUUGAGCAAAUGUCAUGACAUUCUCUUUAUUCUGUUGUUUUUGUGUUUCCAAUUUGUUUUUUGCCGUCUUACAGGUGCUGGUCCCCUAUAAAUUUAAGAAUUAUCUUUUAACUUCUUUUAUAGCCAAUUAAGGGCAAUUAUAUCAGUUCUUGUUCAGUGAAUAUGCCAAUUUAUUUGAUCUCAUUUUCUUUCUCUUCUGCAUUUAUUAGGACAUGAUGUAUAGGUUGUGUUGGAUGAGCUCCUGGAAAUAUUUUGUUGUUUAUAAAUAUAUAUGCCUGACAAA